Molecule: long non-coding RNA, 10466 nt
Filed under: Phaseolus vulgaris (common bean)
Lineage: Eukaryota; Viridiplantae; Streptophyta; Magnoliopsida; Fabales; Fabaceae
Description: long non-coding RNA (PVUL_LNC000499)
Source: RNAcentral
ACCAUUUUUAUGCUUAUAUAAACUCCCACAUGCUUGGAAAUCAAAAACAUAAAAAUCAAUAGCAGAAUAGCAGAAGCAAAGCUUCAAGUAUGAUGGCUCUUUUGUAUUUGGCUUUGCUAAUUCUUCUGUUUCUGUUCUCUCUUAAGCUCUUCUUCAAAACAAGAACAUUCAGAAACCUUCCACCAGGGCCAUUCUCUUACCCUAUAGUCGGAAAUCUCUUGCAACUCAAACAGCCUUUCCACCGCACUUUCACUCAAUUGUCGCAAAAAUACGGCCAAGUCUUCUCUCUCUGGUUCGGUUCCCGUCUCGUGGUGGUCGUUUGUUCACAGUCUGCGGUGCAAGAAUGCUGUACCAAAAACGACAUCGUCUUGGCCAACCGACCUCACUUUCUCUUUGGCAAGUACAUCAGCUACGACAACAGCACCAUCCUUCACUCCUCCUACGGCGACCAUUGGCGCCAUCUUCGCCGCAUCUUAGCGCUGGAAGUUGUCUCAACCAACCGUUUAAACUCCUUCUACCAUGUUCGUAGGGGCGAGAUCAUGAGGCUCGUGCAAAAGCUCGCUCACCUUUCACACAACGACUUCACCAAAGUGGAUCUUAAAUCCAUGUCAGUUCUUUAUCAAACAUCCUUACACUAUGUUUUAUUAAAUUAUACAUUACUCUUAUAUUAGCAUUAUGUCUAAAUAACAUUUUUAUAUUAAGGUUCAUGGAAACGGCGUUUAACACCAUGACGAGAAUAGUGGCGGGAAAGAGAUUAUUCGGCGACGAUUGUGACGUGAAUGAUGUGCAGAAAGCAAAGCAGUUCCAAGAUAUCCUUAAAGAGUUAGUGACAUUAGCCGGAGUAAAUAACCGCGGAGACUUCUUGCCUUUUGUGAGGUUGUUUGAUUUUGAUAAUUUAGAGAAAAGGUUAAAGGGGAUUGGUAAGAGAACCGAUGCAUUCUUACAAGAACUCAUUGACGAACAUCGUAGUACUGGAAAUUACAGUGGCAAUACUAUGAUAGCUCAUCUUCUUGCUCUACAACGAUCACAACCUGAACAAUACACCGAUCAAAUCAUCAAAGGACUUUCUCUGGUAAUUAGUUAUUUCUUUGUUUAGAGUAAAAACAAAAGAACCUAAAAAGAAGGAUCUGUUUCCUUAUGUGGUAUAUUGAUACUUUCUUUUUUUUUGGAUUUUACAGAGCUUGCUACUUGCUGGAACAGAUACAUCAGCUUUAACUUUAGAAUGGGCAAUGGCUAAUUUAUUAAACCAUCCAGAAGUUGUAAAGAAGGCAAAAAAUGAUAUAGACGCUGAAGUUGGAGCAGAUCGUCUUGUAGAGGAAUCUGACAUGUCAAAACUCCCUUACAUUCAAUGCAUUGUUUACGAGACUCUUCGAUUGCACCCUGCAGCUCCAAUUUGGUCACCACAUUUGUCUUCAGAAGACUGCAACAUAGGAAAAUAUAAUCUCCCAAAAGACACAAUUGUGUUAGUGAAUGCUUGGGCUGUUCAUACAGAUCCAAAAGUGUGGAGUGAUCCAACACAUUUUAAGCCAGAAAGGUUUGAGGAUGAAAGUGAAGUGAGUAGGUUACUUUCAUUUGGGUUAGGGAGAAGGGCUUGUCCUGGAUCAAACCUAGCUCAACGUACAGUGAGUUUAUCUGUGGCCUUAUUGCUUCAAUGCUUUGAGUGGAAACGAAUUAGUGACGAAAAAGUUGAUAUGUCUGAAGGAAAAGGGAUUACUAUAUCAAGAACACAACCUUUGGAAGUUAUGUGCCAACUUCGUCAAACACCAGCAGCAGCAACAAUAAAGGAUAUGUACUGAAGGAUGGUGUUAUUUAAAGAAUAAACAUAAUGUAAUGUGUGGAAAAUAAAUAUGUCUGCAUAGACAAUAUGUGAUGAGUAUGUUAUGUGUUGAAGAUAAGUAUGUAUUUCUAUUGAAUGUGAUGAGUUAUAACUUAUAAGUUCUAGUUUUACAAUAAAUUCUUAUUUUCUUUAUAUUAUUUAAUGUAAUAGUAAUCUUUUAUAAAUAUGAGAUUAUAAUUUAAGGUUUCUUAUUAUAAUAGAAAUUUUGAUAAUUAAAAAUAAGUCUCAUAAUUUUAAUUUAAUAUAAUUUAAUUAUGGAUUAUUAGGGGUAAGAUAUUAAUACUCCAAAUAAAUUUUUACUAUAAAAAAAUAAUUAAAUAAAAACUAAUUUUAAAGAUUAAAAAUAAUUAGUUACUAUAUUAAUUAAGUUAUAUACUAAUUUAUAAAAUAAAAAAAUAUUAAUAUCUAAAUUAAUUUGUAUUAUUAAUUAAAAAUUAUAAACUAGUUUCUAAAUUAGUAUAUAACAUUGCUUACCAAGAUUUUAACUCUAAUUAUUUUAGAUUCUAAAUUAGUCACUUAUUUUUAUUUAAUUAUUUUUUUAGUGUUCUCUUGCCUCUCUCUAUAUAUAUUUAUUUAUUUGAUUAAACUAAUUUAUGAGUAUAAUCAAUUAUGAUAUUCUUAUAAUCAAUUAUCUUCUUCCUCCACUCCUUCUAAAUCAAAUUACAUGCAAAUAUUCAAGGACAUUUAGACUUUUUCAUCAUGGAAGACAUGACUUUUCUUGUCUUUCUUCACAUUACACAGAAACCAUCACAUCUCUUUUUUUCAUAAACUCUUGCUUUUCUUCACCACAUAUCUGAAGAUAAAAAAAAUAUCACCUCUUGCAAAUCCAUCUUCGUCCACACUAAAUCAGUGAAAACAAAACAAACACAACGUUAAUUCUAACUUCAUGUCUCAAAACUAUGGUCCCCACCAAUUGAUACACAAACAAAAGAAAGUAAAUAAAACAAAGAAAUAGUAGAUCCUUACUUAUAAUAUGAUUAAAAUAAAUAAUACAUUGAGUUAUUAAGUGAGAGUAAUUUUUUAAUAACAUUAAACAAUGGACACUCUUUGUUUCACCAAAUCGUGGCCCCACAACCAUUAAAAUAAAACUCAUUUUACUAAAAAAAGAAAGAAAUGAAUCAAAGGCACCUAAAUUUGCAUACCAAAUGCAUCCAAGAAAUCAGAUACGGAUGAAAAAUAUUCUUAGACAACCAAGUUUCUGUACUUGGAGAGGAUGCUUAGGGGGACAAUUUUGAAGUGCCAAAAAAGAGAAAAACAAGAAAAUUGAAAAUCUUGACAUGACAGAAAAUUAAUAUGGACGAAAUAAAACUGCAAAGUUAAAAACUCAUUCUUUCAUAUUUAAAACAAAAUCAUUUUAAUAUUUUUUUUAAACAUUUCUUUUCUGCAUUAGAAUUUUUCAAAUCAUACAAAAGAUUAAAAGUUACCUUAUCAUCUUGAGUUCUUACUUUAAGAUUUUCCUUAUCAGUAUCAAUUAUAAUUCUAGGAGAUUCACAGAAAAUGUAAACUUGUCCACCUUAACGAGAACAUUUUCAACCAAACCAUAUGGAUAGUAGGUUACUCUAUUAGCUAACUGUAAUGUCAUCUUGGUGGGUUUAAUCUUCAAAUCACCUAAUUUCUCCAACAUUGCCAAAGGAAUUAGAUUUAUGCUUGCCCCCAAAUCUAGUAAGACCUUGUCCACAAAUAAAGCACAUAUAGACACAGGAAGAAUAAAGCUUCUUAGGUCCUUGCAUUUUUUAGGCAAACCCUUUUUAGUAAUGGCACAACAUGUAGCCUCCACCUUUAUAUUUCUCUCUUCAAUAUAACUUCUAUUCUUCAUAAAUCUCUCAAAUGUUGAAUUUUGUUUUAGAUUUUCUGCAAAACAACUUCAAAUUCUUUCCUUCUUUUUUUUUUGAAGGAGCAUGAGGAUAUGAUAAAUAUUUUUCAAGAACACCUCUCUCCUUAUUUUCACUUUAUCUUUUCCUCCUCACUUCUUUUCUUCUCUCUCCCCCUCAGUCUCAUUUUCCCUUUCUUUUUCAACCACUACAUUAUUACCAUCCUUUUCUCCUGCUAUUCUACCACUUUCAUAGGCAAUUUUAUUGCAAUGCUCUUUUGGGUUGCAACAUCUAGGAACAUCUUAGUAUCAGAUCUGAGACCAUUAAGAAAUAUGCUCAUUUGAGCAAUAUCUUCAAACCCAUGAUUUGGACAUUUUCCCAACAUCAUUUUGAAUCUCUCCCAUGUCUCACUAAAAGCUUCAUCUACUUCUUUUCUGAAUAUAGAUAUUUCGGACUUUGCUUCGAUGUAGCGAGAUAUUGGAAAAAAUCUUUGCAUAAAUUUUUCCUCUACAUCCUUCCAGCUAGUGAGGCUCUAAUUUGGAUGAGAUUUGAGUCCUUCUUUAGCCUUUCCUACCAAUGAAAAAGGAAACAAUCGCAUAUAAACAUUUUCAAUAUCACCUGAUUGAAAACCCAUUGUUCCCACCAAUUCAUAAAAUGUGGCCAAAUGUGUAUAUGGACCCUCAUGAUUCAUCGUUGUAAAUUGAUGGGUACUGAUGAGACUAAGGAAAACAGGUUUCAUCUCCAAGGCCCUGGUGGUAGCAGGUAUUGCAAUACUAGAAAAAUGCCUUGGGCACUACUGCACGGCAUAAUCUCCAAGUGUUCUCCUAUGGGGUGGUGCUUGCUCUUCUACCAUGUUGCUUUCAUCCUGAAAAAUAUUAGUGGGAAAGAAGAAGUGGUUGAGGAUUUCUAUCUAGUGUUUCCUUGUCUCUCUUUUGUCUUUGUCUUUUUAUUUCUUUUGUCUGCCCUUUCAAUCUCUGCUUCAAAUAAUAAUUGGUCUUUGAGAAUUUGACCUCUCAAUAUCAUAUAAGACAGCUAAUUCAAGGGUAGCACAAGGAUUCACUAGCAACAAAAAAAUAAUUUUUUAUUUAUUUUAAAAUUGAAAAAAUAAACAUAAUAAAAUAAAUGCAAAUUAAAUCUAAAAAUAAAAUAAAACCAAAUCUAAACAAAUAUGCAAUUAAUUAAUAUAAACCAAAAUAAAACAAUACACAAAAUAAACAAAAAAUAAAAACAGUUAGAAUAUUCACAACAUUUAGGAAUUUGUACUAAAAAAUUAAUUAUUCCCCAAACAUGAAGCAAAAAAUUCGAUGACUUUUCUACGACAAGUGUACCGUGUUGUCAGAAGUAAUAAGUUGUUCCUAAGGACGGAUAUUGAUAAGUGCCUAAUUUCAGUAAUAUUUCAUAUUAAAGUAUAGGCACUUAUGAAUAUUAAUUUUUAAAAUAUAUAUAAAAGAAUCCCUAAUUUAUUAAUUUAUAUCUUUUUACAUAUUUUAUUAUCUUCAUUUGAAUAAUAACAUUUUAUUCCCCAAUUUGGUGUUAAUUUCAGGCUUUUAAGGAAGAAUGGAGAUGACUGGUCUAAAGAAAAUAAGAUAAGCUAAAAGGAGAAAGCUUGAAGGCCCGAAACGCACAAAAAGAGCAAAAAUUCCAACUCAGCAGCGGAGUUUCUUGCUCAAGCGAGCUCAUUCUCGCUUGAGCGGGAAUGCUCCCGUGAAGUUUUCGGAAAUCAACGUCUUUCUCGCUUGAGCGAGCUACAUCUCACUUGAGCGAAAAUGCGUCAGACAAAUUGGGUCAUUUUAUGUUUUCAUCAUUAAGCCCAUCAGCGUGACGCAGGAAGUCACCUAACCCUGGUAAAUUAGGUUAAAUAGGGGGCUUAAAGCUCAACCCUAGUGUGCUAGAUUGAGAGGAAAACAUCAUUAAGUGACUUGUAACCCAAUUGGGAGAAUAAAAGAUAUUAGAAGAUGCGUGGCUAAUUCUACCCUUUGGGAUUGGGUGUAAUAUGCUCAAACUCUUAUGUAUUGAGGUGAUAUUUAAAUAUGAUAGAAUAUUAUGUUUUUGAUUGAUUAUUGCUAUUGUUGUUUUGUUUCUAACUCUUGAUCUAGAAUCUUAAAUCUGGCUUAAAAGUAUUUUUAGGGUUCUGACCUAAACAACAAUAUUUAACAUAUUUGAGUGCUAGAAAUAGACUUGAAAUUUUAAUUACUAUCAACGUUUGAGUGCGACUCUAAGUUGUUUUUAUAAAUAUGUGAGAAAUCUUCUAAAUUAUCAAGGAGUCUUCUAAAUAUCGAUUCUUUGCAUAUUUAUAAAAGUUUCUUAUCAUUAAGAUUAGAUGUUGAUAGCAAUUAACAUUAAUUCAGCACAUCCCACACCUACCUCUAACCCAUGAAUUUUUAAGAUGAGAAAGUUUAGAGGUGCAAAAGGCCUUCGUGUUGCUCAAGAGGAACACCAAUAUACAUCCCUUACAACUGUUCUGUUUCUUUUUGGGUGGGUCUGCUUAUAUAGUAGAUGCUCUUUAUUUUUGAAGUCUUUUAUGUUGCUGCCACAAUCAUUAUUAUUUUACAUGAUUCUGUUGCAUAAUGAGGUAUAAUGGUUGUUGAAUUGUGGUACAUUGGGGGUUCUUAAGCAAUGGUUUCUUUAGGCCAUUUGUGUAGGCUUUUAUGGGUUGGUGGAAGGGUUAUUCAUUUUAUGAAUGAGUUUUGUUUUCUUCUUAAGAAACCAAUAUUCAUUGUUGGUUUGGGUUUCUUGGAUUCUGUAUACGGGUUGAGAUACUCCUAAAGUAUCUCUUUUAUUUUGUUUUAUUCUUUGCUGAUAAAAAAACAUUUCAAAUAUAUUCCUAGCAUGCAAAUAUGUUAAGCAUUAUCAUUUGGGUCAGAAACUUAAAAGUACUUUCUAGUCAAAUCUAAGCUUUGAGAUCAUGGCGAACAAGCCUUACAAAGAAAAUGACAAUACCAAUAACUUGUUGACUCCACCAACUCAUCCUUCAACUUUUUAGUCAAGGUCGUGGAAGACUAUUGUUGACCCUCGUCAUCACUAAUGUGCGACUCUUCAUCUCGGUGCAGAUCACAUCUAAGGAGGUCGCAUCCAAGACCUCCUCCUCGGCUAGGGAGAGAGCCAUUUGCACCUCUUUGUCAAACCUUAGUCCAUCUCCCAACAUAGGAAGGGGAGUGUGGGUAUUGGCCCCAAAAGGUGAGGGUCGUGACCUUUGAGGGGACUUCUCGAGUCGUGCCCUCUUAUUUUUCUUAAAAAGAUUAUUGUUAGCCAGAGGAGGAGAUAAAUCAACAAUUGGUGUCAAAGACCCCCGACAACAAGUUCAAUGCUUUCUCCCGGUCUUUGGCUGACCUAUCGGCGAAGCUGCUUCAAAACCAAGUCCAUAUCAAGGGUAGUCUAGUCCAUUUUUUCUGCAAGCAAAAUACAAAUUCUGUGAAGUUAAAACCAAAAUAUAAGAGAGUACAUUUACAACAAAUCAUUAAAGUCCACCCAACGAUGAGGUGCAAUAUUAUAAAUGGAAAGCAUUUUCUGGGUCGGUAACCUCUUCGACAACUGAUAGAAAACAUAAAUUUCUCGAUCCUCGGUGGUCAUCGAUGACCUCGGCUAAGAUUUAUAACGUGUGGGAAAAUAGGUCCUAUAAAAAAAGAAUCUUGGUUUCCCCUCUGCAUAAAAGAAUAACAAUCUCCCUUUCGACUCAAUAAAUCUUUUUAAAGAAUCUCCCCUUAAUGUUUUUAUAAGUGGAGGAGAAGGGGGUGAAAAGAAUAUUGCCCGACCGACACGUUAGAGAAACCCAACCCGCAAGAUCAAUUGGAUGAGCGUUAUAGUAAAGAAAGAAAAGAUCGAGGACUCAACUUAAGCCGAAACAUAUCACAUAUUAGGCGAAACACUUGCAGUGUGGCCCAAGAGUUCAAGUGAAGUUGUGUAAGAGCAACAUUUAGAAUUCCAAGCACCCCAUUGUGAAUUCAUCGAAUGUAAGACAUGGAGGUCCGAGAAAAAACAAUAAUAUAAAUAAAUAGAAGUCGAAACUAGACUAUUCCCGACCGUGGCAAAUGUUUUAAAAAACAUCACAACUUCUGAUAAAGAUAAUACUCGUAUCGGCAUUUGACUUAAUCAUAGGAACACUUGACAGGAAUGAAUUCAUGGUAUAACUCCACCUAUAUUGAGUAAAAUACUCAAUCACCUUACUAUUUACCCACUCCUACCUUACCUGGUAUGAAUGGUUCCCCUUAUUAGCCAGGUCGGCUUCCCCACUAGGAGUGUCUGGCCGACAAGAACCAAACCGAGAGCCCCUAUGCCCACCAACGACACCGAAUGAUCCCCUAGAAGAAGACAAAUAGUCAUAAGAACUAGAUGAAAACAUCAAUAACCUUUUGUGGAAAACGGUCGACACCUCACCACAAUUCGGUAUUCAGGAUUCAAAGCAAAAUAAAAGUUAAAAAAAAAAAGCCCCUAUUUAUAGAACCCUAGCCUCGAUCAUACCAAGCGUCGCGAAUCGUUAGAUCUAUUCAUAUCUAAUGGUCCUUUUUAGAAAAAUGCAAAUCCUAAGACUAAUAAAAAAUUUCACGCCAAAAGAUCUUUCUGGAACUCUGCAGGACAUGUCCCAUCCAAGCUUGUGUAACAGAGAAGUCAUACAACCUUGUUCCAUCCAACCUUGAUUCAUGGAGCAACCAUAUCAAGACCCUUCGGGUAAUAUCCUUGAGCAGUGUACCGUUAGGGGCCGAACAGUCGUAGGACACACCAGUACACCGACCCCCAUAAGAAGAAUGUGUUAAAAGUAAAGUAUAUUAACACAAGUUAAACCAUACAAAAAAUUAGGUAACACAAUCUUAAUCAUGAUACAUAUGAUAAUCUCGAUGUAGUAGUAAAAUGAUUAAUCAAGACCAUAUAAAUAGGCACAACAAACAAACAAAAUACGUCAUUAUUACAUCAUUUAUUACAUCAUUAUACUCAGUGUUACUUUAGUCUUAGAUAACCUUUUGCAGGUCUACUCUCAAUCUAGAACUGAAACCCAAACACGAGUAUGAAGGAAGAAAUGCAAUUACAAUCGAAACAAAUAAUAACUUGUUCGAUCAUUAUUGAUACGGUAAUGAAAUGUUAAAAUAAUAACAAAUUACUAUUAUUACUCAUAAUCAUAGGUUAUAAUAUUUCUUGGAUCAAGCGCACAGUCCUCUUUGAGGUGGUUUUGUCUCCAUAUGGGACUCUUGUAUCUUACAAUUCCACGUUCUAAAUGCAUGUUGUGAAAGCAUUAAAAGUCAAGUUCAAGCGCACUCUAAUUGUAAAUUCCAUGUGGCCAAUUUUUUUACUCGUUUUAAAUAUAAAAUUAAGUAGAAACGAUUUCAUUCGUCAUAAAUUAUUACAAAAUAUUAUAAUAAAAAUUAUUACAUUCUUUUUAUUACGUUUAUCUUUUAUCUAAAAUUUAAUUUACACUAUUAUAAACAUACUCUAUUAUAUUCUCAUUGUAUUAGUAUUAAUUUUACACUUUUGCUAAGUUCUAUGUUAAUUUAUUUUAUAUUCGUUGAAAUCAAUUAAUACUGAUUUAUUGAAGAUAUGCACCAGAUAUAUUAUCUUAUAAAUUUUGAUGACAUCCCUAAAAAUCAGUUAACACUUAUUUAUUAAAAAUAUGUAUUAAAUAUGAUCAUGAAUCAAAUAACACAUUACUAAAAACUAUAAAUAAUUUUUUUUUUAAAAAAGGUAGACUAUUAUAUUUUUAAAGGAAGGUACACUAUUAUAUUUUUAAAUCAUAUACUUUACUUACUUAAUCAUUAAAAGAGUACUUGCUUGAUAAUUGAAAAACUUCCACGUGUAACUAUCAAUCCUCAGUCACAAAGCAUAUUAAAAAAAUUACGUGAAUAAUGUAUCUGCAAUUAAUUCCAAUUUUCACAGGUAAGAGAAACACUAUUUAACUACAAGUUUAUAAUUCAAAGAUUUGAAGUUGAAAUUGGAAAUUUUGAGAUUUUAAUAAUUACGAAUUAUGCACCAUAUGUUGCAUUUUCUAAAAGAUAUUGAAAAUUAAAAUCACUAAAAUCCUUUAUACAUUUUGUAUGCCACGAGGUAGAUUGAAUAAUAUAAUAAAAACAAAUCCCAGUAGAGAUGCUACUCUAUGUGAAGUCAAUAAUCGCUACAGUGUAUUGCUGGGAUCUCAUGCAUCCUUAACGUGUACCAAAUCUCUUUUAACUAUUUUUUAAUUCCAGUUCACACACUCUGUUUUGAAGUGUGCUUUUAUGCUCAUAACAAAAAAAAUUCAUUAAUAUCAUUGUUUAGCUCAAAUGCAAUUCAAUUAAUUAUUAAAUCAAUAAUUAAAAUCUUAAUAUCUAAUUACGUAUCAAUUUAAGAAUAAAUAGUUAGGUAAUAAUAAAAUCUGAGUACACCCAUACACCACUUUAUGAUUAUUUUAUAAACCUCAACUGCAACAUUAUUUGCCAUGCACCACUUUAUUAUUAUUUUAUAAACCUCAAAUUCAAUGUUAUUUGCCAGCUAAUUUGAACAGCCAUUUGUUCUUGACUUUUGUUUUUCCAGCUUACCAUUUUUAUGCCUAUAUAAACUCACAUGCAUGGAAAUCAAAAACAUAAAAAUCAAUAGCAGAAUAGCAGAAGCAAAGAUUCAAGUAUGGCUCUUUUGUAUUUGGCUUUGCUAAUUCUUCUGUUUCUGUUCUCUCUUAAGCUCUUCUUCAAAACAAGAACAUUCAGAAACCUUCCUCCAGGGCCAUUCUCUUACCCUAUAGUCGGAAAUCUCUUGCAACUCAAACAGCCUUUCCACCGCACUUUCACUCAAUUGUCGCAAAAAUACGGCCAAGUCUUCUCUCUCUGGUUCGGUUCCCGUCUCGUGGUGGUCGUUUGUUC